This 211-nucleotide unclassified non-coding RNA is filed under the name Glomeraceae sp. RNAcentral describes it as "partial contains 5.8S ribosomal RNA and internal transcribed spacer 2". The stretch from base 1 to 71 matches the Rfam family "5.8S ribosomal RNA", at positions 84 to 154 of the family's 154-position model. Lineage: Eukaryota; Fungi; Glomeromycota; Glomeromycetes; Glomerales; Glomeraceae. The record is from RNAcentral.
GUGAAUCAUCGAAUUUUUGAACGCAAAUUGCACUCUCUAGUAUUUCGAAGAGCAUGCCUGUUCGAGGGUCAGUUAAAUACACAUCGGUGUUGUUGCUGUCUUUCGUGGUGACGUUUCGGAUUUGAGUCGUCUUACCUUUGGUUAACCUUCUUAAUAUUUUUGCAUGACUUUCGAUCGUAUUUCAAUCGUUUACGUACGUUUGAGAUAUCGA